UACGAAGGGGGCUAGCGUUGUUCGGAAUCACUGGGCGUAAAGGGCGCGUAGGCGGCCGAUCAAGUCGGGGGUGAAAGCCUGUGGCUCAACCACAGAAUUGCCUUCGAUACUGUUUGGCUUGAGACCGGAAGAGGUUAGUGGAACUGCGAGUGUAGAGGUGAAAUUCGUAGAUAUUCGGAGGAACACCAGUGGCGAAGGCGGCUCACUGGCUCGGUACUGACGCUGAGGUGCGAAAGCGUGGGGAGCAAACAGG
This 253-nucleotide ribosomal RNA is filed under the name uncultured bacterium. Its description in RNAcentral is "partial 16S ribosomal RNA". It matches the Rfam family "Bacterial small subunit ribosomal RNA", at positions 524 to 776 of the family's 1533-position model. The record is from RNAcentral.